GCCCCGUACACAAAAGCGCAUGUGCUGUGAGCUCGAUGAGUAGGGCGGGACACGUGGUAUCCUGUCUGAAUAUGGGGGGACCAUCCUCCAAGGCUAAAUACUCCUGACUGACCGAUAGUGAACCAGUACCGUGAGGGAAAGGCGAAAAGAACCCCGGCGAGGGGAGUGAAAAAGAACCUGAAACCGUGUACGUACAAGCAGUGGGAGCCCCACCACUAAGCCAGUGGUGAACUCCACAUACGCAUCCUUUGCUGAGGAUACGGUUAACGGAGCGAAAGCGACGUUCAACCUCAAAAGAAGCAGAGGGGGCUUAGUGGUGGGGUGACUGCGUACCUUUUGUAU
RNAcentral lists this ribosomal RNA (342 nucleotides) under Salmonella enterica subsp. enterica serovar Schwarzengrund. Its description in RNAcentral is "partial 23S ribosomal RNA". It matches the Rfam family "Bacterial large subunit ribosomal RNA", at positions 370 to 613 of the family's 2925-position model. The record is from RNAcentral. Lineage: Bacteria; Pseudomonadati; Pseudomonadota; Gammaproteobacteria; Enterobacterales; Enterobacteriaceae.